UACGGAGGGCGCGAGCGUUACCCGGAUUUACUGGGCGUAAAGGGCGUGUAGGCGGCCUGGGGCGUCCCAUGUGAAAGGCCACGGCUCAACUGUGGAGGAGCGUGGGAUACGCUCAGGCUAGACGGUGGGAGAGGGUGGUGGAAUUCCCGGAGUAGCGGUGAAAUGCGCAGAUACCGGGAGGAACGCCGAUGGCGAAGGCAGCCACCUGGUCCACUUGUGACGCUGAGGGGCGAAAGCGUGGGGAGCAAACCGG
This 253-nucleotide ribosomal RNA is filed under the name uncultured bacterium. RNAcentral describes it as "partial 16S ribosomal RNA". It matches the Rfam family "Bacterial small subunit ribosomal RNA", at positions 524 to 776 of the family's 1533-position model. The record is from RNAcentral.